This 253-nucleotide ribosomal RNA is filed under the name uncultured bacterium. RNAcentral's name for it is "partial 16S ribosomal RNA". It matches the Rfam family "Bacterial small subunit ribosomal RNA", at positions 524 to 776 of the family's 1533-position model. The record is from RNAcentral.
UACGUAGGGUGCAAGCGUUGUCCGGAAUUAUUGGGCGUAAAGAGCUCGUAGGCGGCUUGUCACGUCUGCUGUGAAAACUCGGGGCUCAACCCCGAGCCUGCAGUGGAUACGGGCUAGCUAGAGUGCGGUAGGGGAGACUGGAAUUCCUGGUGUAGCGGUGAAAUGCGCAGAUAUCAGGAGGAACACCGGUGGCGAAGGCGGCAUACUGGGUAUUUUCUGACGCUCAUGCACGAAAGCUAGGGUAGCGAACGGG